CUCUACUCGCCCCUUCCAGGAAUUUAACGGAGGUUUUGACGCGUCUGACUGUCCGAUCUCGCGGCCUCCAGCACAGAUGCAGCCAGAGAACGGUUUUGCGUAGAGAGAGUGGCGAAGGCAGUAUGCGAUUAGGCUUGAAGAGGAGGAGAAAGAUAAAGAGAUGUUGCAGCAGAUGACAGAGGAGGCAGAGGAGUACAAGGGGGAAUUCUAUAGAAAGCGUCAAUUGACUAUUAAGAAGAACAAAGCGUCUAAUAGGGAGAAGGAGAAGCUAUU
Molecule: unclassified non-coding RNA, 273 nt
Filed under: Hevea brasiliensis (rubber tree)
Lineage: Eukaryota; Viridiplantae; Streptophyta; Magnoliopsida; Malpighiales; Euphorbiaceae
Source: RNAcentral